RNAcentral lists this ribosomal RNA (492 nucleotides) under Eumunida picta. RNAcentral describes it as "partial 16S ribosomal RNA". It matches the Rfam family "Bacterial large subunit ribosomal RNA", at positions 1796 to 2552 of the family's 2925-position model. The record is from RNAcentral. Lineage: Eukaryota; Metazoa; Arthropoda; Malacostraca; Decapoda; Chirostylidae.
UCGCCUGUUUAACAAAAACAUGUCUAUAUGAAAAUAUAUAAAGUCUAACCUGCCCACUGAUAUAUAAUUAAAGGGCCGCGGUAUUUCGACUGUGCGAAGGUAGCAUAAUAAUUUGUCUUUUAAUUGAAGACUAGAAUGAAUGGUUGGACGAGAAAUAAACUGUCUCUUUAAAAAAAUUUGAAUUUUACUUUUAAGUGAAAAGGCUUAAAUAAAUUUAAGGGACGAUAAGACCCUAUAAAUCUUUAUAUUUUUAUUUUUUUACUUUAAUUUGUMUGUAUAAUAAAUAAAAACUAAAAAAAUAUUUUAUUGGGGCAAUAAAAAUAUAAUUUUUAACUGUUUUACUAAAUUAACAAUAAUAUUUGAAUAUAUUAAAAGAUCCUUAAUAAAGAUUAUAAGAUUAAGUUACUUUAGGGAUAACAGCGUAAUUUUUUUUAAGAGUCCAUAUCGAAAAAAAAGUUUACGACCUCGAUGUUGAAUUAAAAUUCCCUUAUG